AACGAACGCUGGCGGCAUGCCUAGCACAUGCAAGUCGAACGAAACCUUCGGGUCUAGUCGCGCACGGGUGCGUAACGCGUGGGAACCUGCCCUUAGGUUCGGCAUAACUCCCCGAAAGGGGUGCUAAUACCGGAUAAUGUCUUCGGACCAAAGAUUUAUCGCCUUUGGUUGGGCCCGCGUUGGAUUAGAUAGUUGGUAGGGUAAAAGCAUACCAAGGCGACGAUCCAUAGCUGGUCUGAGAGGAUGAUCAGCGACACUGGGACUGAGACACGGCCCAGACUCUUACGGGAGGCAGCAGUGGGGAAUAGUGGACAAUGGGCGGAAGCAUGAUCCAGCAAUGACGCGUGAGUGAUGAAGGCAGUAGGGUAGUAAAGCUCUUUUAACCGGGAUGAUAAUGACAGUACCGGGAGAAUAAGCUCCGGCUAACUCCGUG
This 433-nucleotide ribosomal RNA is filed under the name uncultured bacterium. RNAcentral describes it as "partial 16S ribosomal RNA". It matches the Rfam family "Bacterial small subunit ribosomal RNA", at positions 29 to 507 of the family's 1533-position model. The record is from RNAcentral.